This 329-nucleotide ribosomal RNA is filed under the name uncultured Pseudomonadota bacterium. RNAcentral describes it as "bacterial SSU rRNA". It matches the Rfam family "Bacterial small subunit ribosomal RNA", at positions 29 to 351 of the family's 1533-position model. The record is from RNAcentral. Lineage: Bacteria; Pseudomonadati; Pseudomonadota.
AACGAACGCUGGCGGUAUGCUUAACACAUGCAAGUCGUACGUGAAGGGGCUUCGGCCCCUGGAAAGUGGCGCACGGGUGAGUAACACGUGGAUAAUCUACCCGGUGGUUUGGGAUAACAUCUCGAAAGGGGUGCUAAUACCAAAUAAGCCCACGACAUCUUUGGAUGACGAGGGAAAAGGGGGCUUCGGCUCCUGUCACCGGAUGAGUCCGCGGCCCAUUAGCUAGUUGGUGGGGUAAUGGCCCACCAAGGCGACGAUGGGUAGCCGACCUGAGAGGGUGAUCGGCCACAUUGGAACUGAGACACGGUCCAGACUCCUACGGGAGGCUG